UCCCUGGUGGCCUAGUGGUUAAGGAUUGGUGUUGUCACUGCUGUGGCUCAGGUUCAAUCCCUGGCCUGGGGA
Molecule: transfer RNA, 72 nt
Filed under: Sus scrofa (pig)
Lineage: Eukaryota; Metazoa; Chordata; Mammalia; Artiodactyla; Suidae
Rfam family: tRNA
About the family: Transfer RNA (tRNA) molecules are approximately 80 nucleotides in length. Their secondary structure includes four short double-helical elements and three loops (D, anti-codon, and T loops). Further hydrogen bonds mediate the characteristic L-shaped molecular structure. tRNAs have two regions of fundamental functional importance: the anti-codon, which is responsible for specific mRNA codon recognition, and the 3' end, to which the tRNAs corresponding amino acid is attached (by aminoacyl-tRNA synthetases). tRNAs cope with the degeneracy of the genetic code in two manners: having more than one tRNA (with a specific anti-codon) for a particular amino acid; and 'wobble' base-pairing, i.e. permitting non-standard base-pairing at the 3rd anti-codon position.
Source: Rfam by way of RNAcentral